RNAcentral lists this unclassified non-coding RNA (646 nucleotides) under uncultured Prochlorococcus sp. RNAcentral's name for it is "partial 16S-23S ribosomal RNA intergenic spacer; may also contain 16S ribosomal RNA and 23S ribosomal RNA". The stretch from base 304 to 376 matches the Rfam family "tRNA". Lineage: Bacteria; Bacillati; Cyanobacteriota; Cyanophyceae; Synechococcales; Prochlorococcaceae. The record is from RNAcentral.
UUGUGGAGGAGGACGCCGAAGGUGGGGCUAAUGACUGGGGUGAAGUCGUAACAAGGUAGCCGUACCGGAAGGUGCGGCUGGAUCACCUCCUAACAGGGAGACAACAAAAUGUUAAAUAUUAAUUUUGUCACCUUAGGUCGAUCGGUAUCUCACAUUCUUAACUUAUUAAGAAUUUUAUUUCCUAAGUUUUUUCUAGGUCACACCCAUUACUUUUCCUGGGCCAUUAGCUCAGAUGGUUAGAGCGCACCCCUGAUAAGGGUGAGGUCCCUGGUUCAAGUCCAGGAUGGCCCAUAUCUCUAUGUUGGGGGUAUAGCUCAGUUGGUAGAGCGCCUGCUUUGCAAGCAGGAUGUCAGCGGUUCGAGUCCGCUUACCUCCACUGAUUACCACCUCUACCAUGAUUUCUAGUUAGGAAAUGUUUUGAGUUGUGAUCUAAUUCUGAACGAAUCUAGCUUCCUAAUCAAACUUAUUAAGAUGCUGGACUCAUUGAAUUGAUUUCAUUGUUUUCAGAGAACCUUGACAACUGCAUAGAUUAUUUUUAAAGACGAUAAGCAUCUUUAAUGAUGCAGAUUUAUUAUUUGUGCGAAUGCAUUAAUAACAAUUCUAUUAAGCUGAUGCUUCAAUUUUGAAGUUAUUGGUCAAGCUACAA